UGAAGCAGAGGACAGUGGCGGACGGGUGAGUAACGCGUGAGGAACCUGCCUUUCAGAGGGGGACAACAGUUGGAAACGACUGCUAAUACCGCAUGACACAUUGAGGUCGCAUGGCCUUAAUGUCAAAGAUUUAUCGCUGAAAGAUGGCCUCGCGUCUGAUUAGCUAGUUGGUGAGGUAACGGCCCACCAAGGCGACGAUCAGUAGCCGGACUGAGAGGUUGAACGGCCACAUUGGGACUGAGAUACGGCCCAGACUCCUACGGGAGGCAGCAGUGGGGAAUAUUGGGCAAUGGGCGCAAGCCUGACCCAGCAACGCCGCGUGAAGGAAGAAGGCUUUCGGGUUGUAAACUUCUUUUGCCAGGGACGAGUAGAAGACGGUACCUGACGAAUAAGCCACGGCUAACUACGUGCCAGCAGCCGCGGUAAUACGUAGGUGGCAAGCGUUGUCCGGAUUUACUGGGUGUAAAGGGCGUGUAGCCGGGAGGGCAAGUCAGAUGUGAAAUCCACGGGCUUAACUCGUGAACUGCAUUUGAAACUGUUCUUCUUGAGUAUCGGAGAGGCAAUCGGAAUUCCUAGUGUAGCGGUGAAAUGCGUAGAUAUUAGGAGGAACACCAGCGGCGAAGGCGGAUUGCUGGACG
Molecule: ribosomal RNA, 638 nt
Filed under: uncultured bacterium
Lineage: Bacteria
Description: bacterial SSU rRNA
Rfam family: Bacterial small subunit ribosomal RNA
Source: RNAcentral